This 72-nucleotide transfer RNA is filed under the name Urocitellus parryii (Arctic ground squirrel). RNAcentral describes it as "Spermophilus parryii (Arctic ground squirrel) tRNA". It matches the Rfam family "tRNA". From Rfam's summary of the family: Transfer RNA (tRNA) molecules are approximately 80 nucleotides in length. RNAcentral also lists the same sequence under 2 other names. The record is from Rfam by way of RNAcentral. Lineage: Eukaryota; Metazoa; Chordata; Mammalia; Rodentia; Sciuridae.
GAGGGUGUGGCUCAGUGGUAGAGCACUUGCCUAGCACGCACAAGGCCCUGAGUUUGAUCCCUGGCACCUGCC